RNAcentral lists this ribosomal RNA (279 nucleotides) under uncultured bacterium. RNAcentral's name for it is "partial 16S ribosomal RNA". It matches the Rfam family "Bacterial small subunit ribosomal RNA", at positions 506 to 784 of the family's 1533-position model. The record is from RNAcentral.
UGCCAGCCGCCGCGGUAAUACAGAGGGUGCAAGCGUUAAUCGGAAUGACUGGGCGUAAAGGGCGUGUAGGUGGUGAUGUAAGUCAAAGGUGAAAUCCCCGGGCUCAACCUGGGAACUGCCUCUGAAACUGCAUGACUAGAGUAUAGGAGAGGGAAGUGGAAUUUCCGGUGUAGCGGUGAAAUGCGUAGAUAUCGGAAGGAACACCAGUGGCGAAGGCGACUUCCUGGCCUAAUACUGACACUGAGGCGCGAAAGCGUGGGUAGCGAACAGGAUUAGAUA